Molecule: long non-coding RNA, 239 nt
Organism: Astyanax mexicanus (Mexican tetra)
Lineage: Eukaryota; Metazoa; Chordata; Actinopteri; Characiformes; Acestrorhamphidae
Exons: 2
Source: RefSeq, a predicted model, not a curated record
CUGCAUUUAUUCACCUGUAGAUCACGAGGAGAUUCAGCAACACCAGAGUUCAGAGAUUCAGACGGUGGUAGAGUCUACCAGCUCAACUACUGAGAACCAAACGCCCAAGAAACCAAAAUCUCUCCAGAUUCUUCUCUAGAGUCAACUGAAGUCAAUUACUCACUUUCCCUCAACUAAGACUUGAUAGAGUGUUUAGGAGCAUCUGAAAUUAAAGUCUCUUGAAGAAGAGGUGACUGAAA